This 1080-nucleotide long non-coding RNA is filed under the name Oryza sativa Indica Group (long-grained rice). RNAcentral's name for it is "lncRNA OsZS97_03G024990". The record is from RNAcentral. Lineage: Eukaryota; Viridiplantae; Streptophyta; Magnoliopsida; Poales; Poaceae.
AUGGCUGGGGUGCCGGGCGAUCUAGCGGCUCGUCCUGCCCUUGAUUUCUGCAUGGUGGCCUCCACUAGAGAGACUGAGCGAUUGCGUGAGCUUUUCACUGCUCGCUCGGUUGUCGCCUGGGUUGAAGAAGGGGAAAGGGUGGAGGCGAGCACAUUUGCUGAUGAUGUGCGCACUGCAUUCCGCAUCCGCCACUCUGAUAUCCAAGUCACGAAGUUCCAUCCUGAAGAUUUCUUUCUCACGCUCACUAAUCAUAGUGAUCGGGAGGCCAUCCUGCAAGAACCAAGACUGAUGCUGAGAAAUGGCCGUGUGUAUCGCUUCCGUCCAUGGGACGAGAGGCGCGGUGCUGAAUGCGUCGACGUUCGCUUCAGGGUCAGAGUAUAUGUGGAAGGAAUCCCCAUGCAUGCAAGAACAGAUGCAAUUGCGGCAAAGAUCAUCGCCAAGAAGAGCUCCAUCCACUACAUUGAAGAAUACUCAAGGCACCCGAGCUCUAUCCCACGAGCAACAAGGUUGACAAUCACGUCAGCAGACGAGGAGGGGCUCCCAGUUGACACUCCCUUCCCGGAGCUGGAAGCUGUGCAUCCUGCCCCUUCUGACACAAAAAAGGUCUCACCUAUCCUGUUCUUAUUCAUAUUGACACUUUGCAAGACCUGGUGUCCCGACAGGUCCGCUGCUUCCAAAGCAGGGAGCUGGACAGGGGCGAUCGCCCGCAGUACAAUCAAGACAAUAGAGGGCGGCAGAGAAGCAGAGCUACAGACGAGAGCUGAAGCCGAAGCCGCCAUCUCUCGCGCUCUGCAAUCAAGAGAGUCUACCCCCGUGGCUAAGGAGAAGGAGAUUGUGCAGGUCCAGUCCCCCUGCAAAACCCCUCCUCCUUACCGAAAUGAUAGCCCUGAUAGGGGUUCGGCCUGCAACAGAAUUUCUUCCUCCGUGACACCUGCUGAUCUGACUUUUUCUUCGCAGGAUUCGGGUGCGAUCCUCAACUUGCUGGAGAAACACCUGGAUCCCAUGCUCCAUGAAGCUUCCAUCCGCAACAUCGUCUACUCUCCAGACACUUCCUCGUCGACACUUGCUUCCCCUGUUUUC